UGUGGGAGCGGGCUUGCUCGCGAUGCAGACACCUCGGUCAUUCAGGUUCACCGAGUGGUUGCCAUCGCGAGCAAGCCCGCUCCCACA
This 87-nucleotide unclassified non-coding RNA is filed under the name Pseudomonas psychrophila. Lineage: Bacteria; Pseudomonadati; Pseudomonadota; Gammaproteobacteria; Pseudomonadales; Pseudomonadaceae. The record is from RNAcentral.